GAGCGGACAGAUUGAUGUGGAAAAG
RNAcentral lists this non-coding RNA (25 nucleotides) under Cricetulus griseus (Chinese hamster). Lineage: Eukaryota; Metazoa; Chordata; Mammalia; Rodentia; Cricetidae. The record is from RNAcentral.